CUACCGGAGCACGACGGAGGCGAGGAAGCUGAGCACGGCGACGGCGCUGACGACGGAGCAGCACAGGUCGACGAGCACCUCUCGCCUCGCCUUGGACUCCUUCCUCCCCCUCUUGCUCCUCACGAACUCCUCGUACCUCCUCUUGGCCUCCUCUCUUUCUUUGUCCCCUCCUUUGCUCCUCGGCCCCUCCAUCGCGGCCUCCAAAAGCCGCAGGCUGCCUUCGCCGCUCACCGCCGCGCCGUCGGCGUCCUCGACGCUCAGGCUGACCUCCCUGAGGCUAAGGCACCCGGCCUCCUCUGA
Molecule: ribosomal RNA, 300 nt
Filed under: Triticum aestivum (bread wheat)
Lineage: Eukaryota; Viridiplantae; Streptophyta; Magnoliopsida; Poales; Poaceae
Description: partial small subunit ribosomal RNA
Source: RNAcentral